Anguilla rostrata (American eel) is the source of this 733-nucleotide long non-coding RNA. RefSeq lists it as uncharacterized. Lineage: Eukaryota; Metazoa; Chordata; Actinopteri; Anguilliformes; Anguillidae. The transcript is spliced from 2 exons. The record is from RefSeq and is a predicted model, not a curated record.
AUCUCUGUGUGUGUGCAGGAAAGCUGCAAGGGUUUGCAAAGUUUGGGAGGAGCGGACGGAAUCAACUUAGUUAUACGUUGUCAAACACAUCGAAAAUUGAAGAAAAUCCGGAAUGAUUAUUAAUUAUUGGCAUAUCUGGCUACAUAUGCUGAAGUCGAGCCCUCGUGCCUCAGGAGGAGACCCUGUGUGGAAUAUUGAAGGGAGAGGAACAAGGGCCAUAUUGAUUAAGAUGAAUCGACAGAGGAACUUCAUUACGCGGUGAAGCAGCAUGAAAAAAUGAAUGGGUGAACAGAAAGGAAAAGUGAGGAAUAUCUGCCUUGGAAGUUAUCAGGCUCUAAAUGUCAAAAAGUGGAACUGAGCAAAUUUAACAAUAUGACAAGUUCCUUUCAGGCAAAUUCUCAGAAGACCUCUGAUGGGAGCUUCAGCACACUGAAACUGAAAGCAGCUCUGGGCAGUCCCGGGUUUUGGUAUAGAUUUUUCAAUCAGUUGUGGUGUGUGCCACAGAUAGAGAAAAAAACAUAUCAUUUUGAGUGGAUUUAGUUACACUCCACACAUCUCCAUGGCAAUUAAUGCCCUGGUUAGAAACUGUAUCUGCAAAGGAGAGGAUGGGGGAAAACGGUUUGAGAUUCCAUCAUUAAUUGUUUUUAGUAUUUUUAGAGUUAAGUGAGAAUGGUAAUUGAUAGUCCAUAUCAUUAUGGUUAAAAAAAAAUAAAAAUUUUAAAUAAAAAAAAAA